UACAGAGGGUGCAAGCGUUAAUCGGAUUUACUGGGCGUAAAGCGUGCGUAGGCGGUUCAGUAUGUCGGUCGUGAAAUCCCCGGGCUCAACCUGGGAACUGCGGCCGAAACUGCUGGGCUUGAGUGUGGUAGAGGGCGGUGGAAUUCCGGGUGUAGCGGUGAAAUGCGUAGAGAUCCGGAGGAACAUCAAUGGCGAAGGCAGCCGCCUGGGCCACAACUGACGCUGAGGUACGAAAGCGUGGGGAGCAAACAGG
Molecule: ribosomal RNA, 253 nt
Filed under: uncultured bacterium
Lineage: Bacteria
Description: partial 16S ribosomal RNA
Rfam family: Bacterial small subunit ribosomal RNA
Source: RNAcentral